Molecule: ribosomal RNA, 939 nt
Filed under: Salmonella enterica
Lineage: Bacteria; Pseudomonadati; Pseudomonadota; Gammaproteobacteria; Enterobacterales; Enterobacteriaceae
Also listed under: 2 other names
Description: partial 23S ribosomal RNA
Rfam family: Bacterial large subunit ribosomal RNA
Source: RNAcentral
GCGUUAAGUUGCAGGGUAUAGACCCGAAACCCGGUGAUCUAGCCAUGGGCAGGUUGAAGGUUGGGUAACACUAACUGGAGGACCGAACCGACUAAUGUUGAAAAAUUAGCGGAUGACCUGUGGCUGGGGGUGAAAGGCCAAUCAAACCGGGAGAUAGCUGGUUCUCCCCGAAAGCUAUUUAGGUAGCGCCUCGUGAAUUCAUCUCCGGGGGUAGAGCACUGUUUCGGCUAGGGGGCCAUCCCGGCUUACCAACCCGAUGCAAACUGCGAAUACCGGAGAAUGUUAUCACGGGAGACACACGGCGGGUGCUAACGUCCGUCGUGAAGAGGGAAACAACCCAGACCGCCAGCUAAGGUCCCAAAGUCAUGGUUAAGUGGGAAACGAUGUGGGAAGGCCCAGACAGCCAGGAUGUUGGCUUAGAAGCAGCCAUCAUUUAAAGAAAGCGUAAUAGCUCACUGGUCGAGUCGGCCUGCGCGGAAGAUGUAACGGGGCUAAACCAUGCACCGAAGCUGCGGCAGCGAACGUAUCACCCAAGACAACUUUACGGAGUUGACGAUUGACGGAGCGAAGCGACGUCAAAGCGUUCAUUAAAGUCGAGUUGGCUUAGGGAUACGUUCGUUGGGUAGGGGAGCGUUCUGUAAGCCUGUGAAGGUGUGUCGUGAGGCAUGCUGGAGGUAUCAGAAGUGCGAAUGCUGACAUAAGUAACGAUAAAGCGGGUGAAAAGCCCGCUCGCCGGAAGACCAAGGGUUCCUGUCCAACGUUAAUCGGGGCAGGGUGAGUCGACCCCUAAGGCGAGGCCGAAAGGCGUAGUCGAUGGGAAACGGGUUAAUAUUCCCGUACUUGGUGUUACUGCGAAGGGGGGACGGAGAAGGCUAUGUUGGCCGGGCGACGGUUGUCCCGGUUUAAGCGUGUAGGUGUGUGUUCCAGGUAAAUCCGGUU